CAAUAGCGUAUAUUAAAGUUGUUGCGGUUCAAAAAGCUCGUAGUUGGAUUUCUGCUGAGGACGACCGGUCCGCCCUCGGGUGAGGUAUCUUGGCUUGGCCUUGGCAUCUUCUUGGAGAACGUAGCUGCACUUGACUGUGUGGUGCGGUAUCCAGGAUUUUCACUUUGAGGAAAUUAGAGUUGUUUCAAGCAGGCACACGCCUUGAAUACAUUAGCAUGGAAUAAUAAGAUAGGACCUUGGUUCUAUUUGGUCGGUUUCUAAAACUGAAGUAAUGAUUAAUAAGGAUAGUUGGGGGCAUUCGUAUUUAAUUGUCAGAGGUGAAAUUCUUGGAUUUUGUUAAAAGACGGACUAUUGCGAAAGCAUUUGCCAAGGAUGUUUUCAUUGAUCAAGAACGAAAGUUAAGGGAUCGAAGACGAUUAGAU
This 422-nucleotide ribosomal RNA is filed under the name uncultured eukaryote. RNAcentral's name for it is "SSU rRNA". It matches the Rfam family "Eukaryotic small subunit ribosomal RNA", at positions 592 to 1013 of the family's 1831-position model. The record is from RNAcentral.